CGUGUAGGCGGUAAUGUAAGUCAGACGUGAAAUCCUUUGGCUCAACUGAAGAACUGCGUCUGAAACUGCAUGACUAGAGUGCAGAAGAGGGAAACGGAAUUCCAGGCGUAGAGGUGAAAUUCGUAGAUAUCUGGAGGAACACCGGUGGCGAAGGCGGUUUCCUGGUCUGACACUGACGCUGAGGCGCGAAAGCGUGGGGAGCAAACAGGAUUAGAUACCCUGGUAGUCCACGCCGUAAACGGUGGGUACUGGGUGUGGGAGGUGUAAUGCCUUCUGUGCCGAAGCUAACGCGUUAAGUACCCCGCCUGGGGAGUACGGCCGCAAGGUUGAA
This 331-nucleotide ribosomal RNA is filed under the name uncultured bacterium. RNAcentral describes it as "bacterial SSU rRNA". It matches the Rfam family "Bacterial small subunit ribosomal RNA", at positions 568 to 898 of the family's 1533-position model. The record is from RNAcentral.